AACGCCAGAUGGACCCCUCUCUGGGUGAAUUGGAGUCACUGGAUCAAAGGGAAUUAGGAAAUCUGCUUUUCAAUAAUCCAAGGAUCAAAUAAGAAAUUACAAUGGAAAUGAGAAUAUAUUUUGAAUACUAAAAACAUGUCAAAGUUCAUGGGUUGCAGUUAAAGCCUUGUUUUAGAAGGAAAUUUAUCACUUAAGAAGUUAAUAAAGACUGAAAAUCAAUUCA
RNAcentral lists this long non-coding RNA (223 nucleotides) under Sus scrofa (pig). RNAcentral's name for it is "lncRNA (ENSSSCG00040074278.1, ENSSSCG00065050328.1)". Lineage: Eukaryota; Metazoa; Chordata; Mammalia; Artiodactyla; Suidae. The record is from RNAcentral.